Lycium ferocissimum is the source of this 3521-nucleotide long non-coding RNA. RefSeq lists it as uncharacterized. Lineage: Eukaryota; Viridiplantae; Streptophyta; Magnoliopsida; Solanales; Solanaceae. The record is from RefSeq and is a predicted model, not a curated record. The transcript is spliced from 6 exons.
UAUGAAUAUCAAUAUGUAUUUACAAGGAAAAUUUCUUCUGUCCUUUGUAUAGGACCUGGAAACCCGACCCAUCAUAUAAAACUUUAGGGAAAACAUCACCUACUGCCCAUCCAACCUAAUUUUAUUACGAGCCUAUACCCCUUCUGAAAGUAUUUUCGCUUAUGCCCAACCCAUUUGAAAAAUAUAACCUAAACGUGCCCCCUCCUAAUUAGCACCUAUGCUGCCCAACUAACCUAACUCGGCCCUAAUCGCUAUUCUUCACUUUGCCACGUUUGUUCAUGCUCAUUUUUUCAGGUGGAGUUUUGAAAUUGACAAAAGGGAGAGUUGGUUGCAUCAGAUAACUUUCAUUAAUGGGUUCAUUGAUUCUUAUCCUUCUUUUUUGUUUUAUUUAAUGGUUUAUUUCAUAUAAGAUCCUAGUUUUACAGAGUUUUUGGCAACAGUUGUUUCUAAAAAAUUUCAAAAUCGUUACUUUUGAUAUUUUUUUCCAUGUUUUUUGCUCCUUUUUACUGUGUUGUUUUUUUGUUGGUUGUUUUUUAUGGGUCGUAAGCAUGUUACAUCUCAAUGGAGGGGCCAUCAUUGAGUUCUUACUGAGGUUGUUGAAUCUUUAGACGAAGGUGUAGGUAUAGAAGACUCUAUUUCUUCAAGGAUCUCGGUCCCAAAUUUUUCAUUGCACCUUGGUGACUCGCCGUCAGUUUCUAUGGGUAGCCCUAAACUGAAUCAGGGUGACCCAAAACCCAAACACUCAGGGGAUGCUGAUGAAGCAGUGACGGAUAAAAAUGUUGAGAAUGUUAAAAGAAAAGGGAAGGAACAAGUAGUGCAUGAUGGUUCAGUUGAUGAGAAUGUGAGGAAUAAAAGAAAAAAGACCGUUGAAUCACAAGAUAUUCCUUAUGAAUCAAUUCCUGAAACAACACCCGAUACAACCCUUGCAACCCCUGAAAAUUUGAUGAUAUUAAGGUUGGUGAUUUUUAUAUAAAGAUGGAUAUUGACUAUAAGCCAAAGAUUGAGUGCAGCACGAACUGCAAUAUUAUUGGUGAUCUGCAUGACAAGUUGUUGACUAAGAAGCUUGCGCUGUUUAGAGAUACCUGUUUUGGGUAUUUCUUAGACAUACCUCUAAUUAUGGUACAGGGGUGAGUAUUGCACAAUCUGUUGAUGAGGGAGGUGCAUUUCUUGGAAGAUGAUGCACUGCACUUUGUGGUGAGUGGUGCCAAGCUGCAUUUUGGGUUGGGUGAGUUUGGUCUUGUUACGAGGUUAAAAUAUAAAGAUGGUACAUCUAUCACGGUCAAAUCAGUGCCCAAUCGGUUGGUGAAAAAGUACUUUAAGAGUUCAGCCAAUGACAUAAGGUCAGUUGGAGCAAUGUUUUAAUAAAAAAAUUUGGAGGUCCGAUGCUGACGCGGUGAAGAUAGUAGUUUUGUACUUUGUAAACACGUUCUUGUUUGCUACGUUGAAGACCAAAGUUGUUGGUAUGGGGUACUUUGAUUUGGUUGAGAGUGGUGAGUUCAAUAACUAUCCAUGGGGAUAGACGUGUUUAAGGCAAAUAUUGAAUCGUGCUCGAACAAGUUCAAGACAAAGCCUUCGUUUAUCGACAUGGUGGAUUUCCUCUUUCAUUACGGAUCUGACUGUACGAGUGCUGCCCAACUUUGGGAAGUCGUUUUGCCAAGCAUGCCUUUGGCCUGACCCGUCGUAUUCUAGACUGGAAGAUAGAUAUAUUUGUCUUAUAACCUGAUCAGUUGAGGAAUGUCUUUCCAACCGAGGACGAGAGGUUGGUAUUAGACUUAGAUAGAUUACCAUUUGAUUGCCCUUGAGCCUUCUCAAAGUCAACGUUUCAGCGAUGGAUUCUUUUGCACACAAGCGCCAACGGGAGAUAUAGGUCAGAGUAGUCGUGGUGAUGGUGAAUCUAGCAAUGCUGUUUUGAAGAAGGAGUUAGAGGCGUAUCGACUUCAUGUUGAUUCAAAGUUUGGAGAGAUCCUUAAAGCUAUUGGGUAUCUGAACAAGAAAGUAGAUGCAAACCCUGAUUUGCCGGAGAAAAAGAAGGAUGAGUGUGCUUACUCUGGUGGGGCACAUACAGAUUUAAUAAUUUGGCUAUGGAUUUCAACCAAGAAACGGGAGAUGUUCGAGGGGGGGGGGGGGGAGGGAGGGGGGUUAAUGACACUGUGAAGGAUGGUAUAGGAGGUAUUGACACUGUGAGUGUUAGCAAGGAGACAGUUGGUAAAAAAAUCGAUUCUCAGAUUGGGUUUUUUUAUCUCCAUGAGUUAGUCGGCUAUGCUGCCAUUACACAGAAUAACGAGAAGAAUAAAAAAGGUCGAAAUGAGCAGACAGCUGAGCUGAAAACAGAUCAUGCAAAUUUGUUGGAUGAUGAUGAUUUUUCGCAUAUGAGUGAGUCUGAGAUAGCAGCGAUCAUACAAUAUGCUAAAGUUGGUGCUGCUGCAGCAAGUAAAGUGAUAGAAGAUGAUCAAUGUACCAAAGAUGAAUGUCAAGAGACCCUUACCGCUGAUGCAAUUGUAGAUGAUCAAGCUAGAGAUGCUGUGUUACCUCAUGGAGAAGGUGUUGUUGAUAAAGGCGCAAAUGCCGCUAAUGAGUCUGUUGUUUCCGCAGUGAGGGGAGAUGAUAUUACGCAGCCAGAUUUUUCAUGUGGUAGUGGAGGUUCCUUCUAAGUUAACGGAGGCUAUUCAAGAUUCUGAAGUUGGUCCGUCGGGGGUACAAGGUGCUGUUACUGAUUCUGAAGAAGAAGCCCUUACAUUUGUGAUUCCGCCAGGCACCUCCAUAUUGGAGAUAGAUGAUGAGAAGACAACACAUGUAGUUUCUCGGAGGGGUAGGCCAAGAUGGCCAGCUAAGGACAAACAGUCAUCAUUUGUGGCUGGUUCUGGCCUUAGCACUGUGGGUGAAACACCACCGAAGCUUGUGAAAGGCAAGUCUUUAUUGAUUCCGAGUAUAACAAUUCCUGUUCAAUACAGCCUUAUGCAAAAGUUCUCAAAGUUCAUUGAUAAAGAUAUGAUCACGUGCCCACAAUUGACUUUUGUACAAUCAGAACUGAUAUUGCACUUAAAAACGGUGUUCACCGGGGUCAUCAGUUAAGCGAUCCAUUAGAUAUGAUAUUGGUUGAUAAUCUGUCAAAACAAAGUAACUUAGAUUGUGGUAUUUUUAUGGCUCUUUUUGCGGAGUACUUGAUUGAAAACAUUCAAAUCCCUGUUGAGAAUGUGAUAUUAUUUUGGCAUUAUGGGAGACAGAAGCAAGAGAAGAAUGAAUACAGUGAAUCUGAGAAUCUUGGAAGGUGAGGAAACUAAUAAGUGGAAAGAAGAAGACGAAAAAGACUUAGUACUAUGUUUUGUGUUUUUUCACGGUUAAGUUUUUGUUGCCAUAUGAAAAUUUAAGACUUUAGUAUGUCGUAGUAAUCGGUGAAGCGAAUAUGUGUUGUUUUUAGAUAUGAAGACUUUUGUUUUUGAAAUAGUAUGUUUGGUAUGUGUUAGAUUUGAAUGAUAUUUUGUUGUUAUUAAAAAUCUCUGUCUUUUAAAGUUUUAUUAUUA